This 150-nucleotide ribosomal RNA is filed under the name uncultured Psychrobacter sp. Its description in RNAcentral is "partial 16S ribosomal RNA". It matches the Rfam family "Bacterial small subunit ribosomal RNA", at positions 338 to 479 of the family's 1533-position model. Lineage: Bacteria; Pseudomonadati; Pseudomonadota; Gammaproteobacteria; Moraxellales; Moraxellaceae. The record is from RNAcentral.
UCUACGGGAGGCAGCAGUGGGGAAUAUUGGACAAUGGGGGCAACCCUGAUCCAGCCAUGCCGCGUGUGUGAAGAAGGCCUUUUGGUUGUAAAGCACUUUAAGCAGUGAAGAAGACCUAUACGGUUAAUACCCGUGUGCGAUGACGUUAGC